Long non-coding RNA from Athene cunicularia (burrowing owl), 152 nucleotides. RefSeq lists it as uncharacterized. NCBI's taxonomy places the organism in Eukaryota, Metazoa, Chordata, Aves, Strigiformes, Strigidae. The record is from RefSeq and is a predicted model, not a curated record. The transcript is spliced from 4 exons.
UUAUAUACACAUCACUUUAUUUAGGUAGCUUAUUACACCUCACAAGUGACAAACACUAAAGAUAUCUGAACACAUAUAUAAAAAAACCCAACAUACAUAAUAAGGUUAUUCUUCUUUGGCCCCCAGAUGAGCAGCACCCCCAGAUGUGCUGC